CAGCUUCUAUGCUUCCUGUGGAAACUGUUGACAUUUGAGAACAAAGCAGCCAAAUACUCACCUGGUACACCUCCAAUAAACACUGGCUCCCUGUGGUCAGUUGCCUUUGGGUUUAGUGGCCCUACUACAUGGUUGACUUCUGAGUCUACAUCCAGCUGCACCACGUUAGCAUCUCUAAUAACUGCGAUUCGGUGCCAUCUGCCAUCGCAGAGACUCUGUUUCAGUGUCACUGAAGUUGAAAAAUCUCUGAUUCCAUUAUUCAGUUUCACAGUAACCUGUCCAUUUCUCAUGUGCAUAUUCAGGUACUCUCCAUUCACACUGUGGCCAUGCAGUAAAAUUCCUGAGCUACUUCGGGGACGUAUUUCAAAAACAACUUCAAAUUUCAGACCUAGACUGAAGGAUUCGUCUGUGAGAGAGAAGGAAGAAUGUUAUUUUUGUACUGAGUUAAUGGUGAG
This 455-nucleotide long non-coding RNA is filed under the name Gallus gallus (chicken). Lineage: Eukaryota; Metazoa; Chordata; Aves; Galliformes; Phasianidae. The record is from RNAcentral.